Molecule: ribosomal RNA, 468 nt
Filed under: uncultured bacterium
Lineage: Bacteria
Description: partial 16S ribosomal RNA
Rfam family: Bacterial small subunit ribosomal RNA
Source: RNAcentral
GACGAACGCUGGCGGCGUGCUUAACACAUGCAAGUCGAACGGAAAGGCCCUGCUUUUGUGGGGUGCUCGAGUGGCGAACGGGUGAGUAACACGUGAGUAACCUGCCCUUGACUUUGGGAUAACUUCAGGAAACUGGGGCUAAUACCGGAUAGGAGCUCCUGCUGCAUGGUGGGGGUUGGAAAGUUUCGGCGGUUGGGGAUGGACUCGCGGCUUAUCAGCUUGUUGGUGGGGUAGUGGCUUACCAAGGCUUUGACGGGUAGCCGGCCUGGGAGGGUGACCGGCGACAUUGGGACUGAGAUACGGACCAGACUCGUACGGGAGGCAGCAGUGGGAAAUAUUGCACAAUGAGCGGAAGCCUGAUGCAGCAACGCCGCGUGCGGGAUGACGGCCUUCGGGUUGUAAACCGCUUUCGCCUGUGACGAAGCGUGAGUGACGGUAAUGGGUAAAGAAGCACCGGCUAACUACGUG